RNAcentral lists this ribosomal RNA (164 nucleotides) under uncultured bacterium. RNAcentral's name for it is "partial 16S rRNA". It matches the Rfam family "Bacterial small subunit ribosomal RNA", at positions 355 to 511 of the family's 1533-position model. The record is from RNAcentral.
UAGGGAAUCUUCCACAAAUGGACGCAAGUCUGAUGGAGCAACGCCGCGUGAGUGAAGAAGGUCUUCGGAUCGUAAACUCUGUUGUUAGAGAAGAACACGAGUGAGAGUAACUGUUCAUUCGAUGACGGUAUCUAACCAGCAAGUCACGGCUAACUACGUGCCCG